AGUAAUCCUCAGGAGAGUGGUUGCCUUGCUGUAUGGUUCACUUACUGCAGUAUCCCAGUGCAUGGAGACACACAGCAGGUGCUUGGUAAGUGUGCAGAGGGAUGAAUGUCAUCUGUAUCAUCAUCCUCACUGAAGUAACUGACAGUCAAAAACAACUUGUGACUAAAUAGGAAAACCUCACAGCACGGGUAGCUCUGAACGGAUUCAGCUCUCAGGAAUGUAUAAUGUCCGUAAAGGCAAGAUGCAGUUGCCAGUGAACCGAUGGACAAGACGCCAAGUCAUCCUAUGUGGGACCUGCCUGAUAGUAUCAUCUGUGAAAGACAGCUUGACCGGAAAGAUGCAUGUUCUGCCACUAAUUGGUGGAAAAGUAGAAGAAGUGAAAAAGCACCAACACUGUUUAGCAUUUAGCUCCUCUGGACCCCAAAGCCAGACUUACUACAUUUGCUUUGAUACUUUCACAGAAUACUUAAGGUGGCUGCGUCAAGUCUCCAAGGUUGCAUCCCAGCGCAUUAGCUCAGUGGACCUCUCAUGUUGUAGCCUGGAACAUCUGCCUGCCAACCUCUUCUACAGCC
This 572-nucleotide small RNA is filed under the name Pongo abelii (Sumatran orangutan). RNAcentral describes it as "processed transcript". The record is from RNAcentral. Lineage: Eukaryota; Metazoa; Chordata; Mammalia; Primates; Hominidae.